This 164-nucleotide ribosomal RNA is filed under the name uncultured bacterium. RNAcentral's name for it is "partial 16S rRNA". It matches the Rfam family "Bacterial small subunit ribosomal RNA", at positions 355 to 511 of the family's 1533-position model. The record is from RNAcentral.
UAGGGAAUCUUCCACAAUGGGCGCAAGCCUGAUGGAGCAACGCCGCGUGAGUGAAGAAGGUCUUCGGAUCGUAAAACUCUGUUGUUAGAGAAGAACAUGCAAGAGAGUAACUGUUCUUGUAUUGACGGUAUCUAACCAGAAAGCCACGGCUAACUACGUGCCAA